AUAGUCCAGUAGGCCACAACCACUGAACACCCACCGGAUCUCUCUAUGUAGACGGAGACAUGGACAGCUAGACAGACAGAAGAACUGACACACAGAUUAUUUGAUAUGUUAUUCUGUCUAUUCUCCUACUGGUUGGUGUCCACUCUAGAAAAUCAGGAUAACUGAUUCCAGACAAGCAAAGCAUGUGAUGGUGUCCCAGUUGGGUUCAGAUGGCUCAGAAGAUGUAUUUGGUUCAAGAUUGGACGGGGAGUGGCAGACCUCCACUUUGGCCAGUGAGGCUCCAUCAUUUCUUUCCUAACGUCUUCUGAUUCGACUUUGAGACAACCCAGCACUCUGGAAUCUUUGCUGUGACUUCUCUAAUGUACAGAUGUUCUGUUCCAUCCUCUUAACGAGGCUUCAUGAUUUCUUUCCUAACGUCUUCUGAUUCGACUUUGAGACAACUCAGCACUCUGGAAUCUUUGCUGCAACUUCUCCAAUGAACAGAUGUUCCUUUCCAUCCUCUUAACAAGGUGUCCACCCUAGAAAAUCAGAACAAGUGGUUGCAGGCAAGCAAAGCAUAUGAUGGUGUCCCUGUGAUGUUCAGGUGGCUCAGAAGAUGUAUUUGGUUCAAGAUUGGAGGGGGAGUGGCAGACCUCUACUUUGGCCAGCGAGGGAUCUUAAGCUGUUGUCCUGACGUUUCCCAACAAGGAGCAUUUACUAAAGAAGAAUGGCAUUUCCUCGGGCAGGCUAUGAAACAAAGUGAGUCAAAAGGACACGGAAUGUUAGCCGCCAUUGAGAUCCCAUGCACUCUAGUGAGGAUACUGCACAAACUGUGGAGAGAUGAGCUGUUCCUCAGCUGCAGCCACCACCUUUCACUCCUUCUACUUAUUCUUCUUGCCCCUUUGAAUCAGAUGGCCAAAAAGAAACACCUCUUCCUUAAUGCUGCAGAUGCCAAGAACCAGCCCCAUGGCCUGGGGCAAACCUCCUGCCCAAACCCCUUGUUUCUGGGUCCUGUCCUAACUGCUGUCAAAUGAUAGCUAAACCGCAGCAUGGAGGCAUGAUGUCUUGCUGUCCUCCCAAGGAACAGCUUUUGCACCCAUGCUCUUCCACCUCAGCUGCCUCUUGACCACAUUCAUGAUGACUUUCCAAAUCAAUUAACUGUCUCUUUUAUUUUGAA
Long non-coding RNA from Monodelphis domestica (gray short-tailed opossum), 1156 nucleotides. RefSeq lists it as uncharacterized. The record is from RefSeq and is a predicted model, not a curated record. NCBI's taxonomy places the organism in Eukaryota, Metazoa, Chordata, Mammalia, Didelphimorphia, Didelphidae.